UACGAAGGGGGCUAGCGUUGCUCGGAAUCACUGGGCGUAAAGGGUGCGUAGGCGGGUCUUUAAGUCAGGGGUGAAAUCCUGGAGCUCAACUCCAGAACUGCCUUUGAUACUGAGGAUCUUGAGUAUGGGAGAGGUGAGUGGAACUGCGAGUGUAGAGGUGAAAUUCGUAGAUAUUCGCAAGAACACCAGUGGCGAAGGCGGCUCACUGGCCCGUAACUGACGCUGAGACGCGAAAGCGUGGGGAGCAAACAGG
RNAcentral lists this ribosomal RNA (253 nucleotides) under uncultured bacterium. RNAcentral describes it as "partial 16S ribosomal RNA". It matches the Rfam family "Bacterial small subunit ribosomal RNA", at positions 524 to 776 of the family's 1533-position model. The record is from RNAcentral.